GAAGCCAGGCUGUUGACUUUGUCCCCCUGUCUUCUGACAUCCUACGUCAUCGGGUCAUCCAGAGGACUUCGUCGCAGGACAUCAUCUUGUAAUUUCCUGAGGAUGAUAGAGAGGUACUCUGUCACCAUUUCUCUCAUGCUCCUUUUCCAUCACUCUCCCUUAAAAGGAGGAUUGCAGUCCAAAGUCCUCCUCCCUUUGUGCCCGGCAGCAUCUAGAACCCAAGCAGGCAGCCCCUGCUGAGUGCCAGUAACAGGCUCUUUGCAUGAAGUCUUCAAAGAGAGAAUGUCAAGAAAUACUUGAAUCUGCAUGUUGGUUUUCUAACUUAAAUGCAGCAGUGAGGAAAGUUAACUGUGUAGAUAGUAGGUUCCCUUAGGUUUCCUUGGUGCAUCCUUUGUGAUGUAUGUGUAUCUGUUGUAUUGCAGGCUUUUGAAGAAUAUCUGUGUAGAUAGUAAUGUCAAAUGUCAAAAAAAAUGCUUUCUGUCACCUGCCAGUGUUGUUGUGUAUGUGGGUAUUUAUAGUUGCGUGUAUAUGAAUCAAUGUAUAGAUGGUAUCAGUAUAUGUACAUUGAAAAUAUUUGUGUCCUGAUCAACCAGUGUGAUAUGAAAAAAGCAAGUAAAAACCUCAUAGGACUGAUUGUACAGUGCAAUUGAGAACACAUAGAGUGGUAUUGCUUUCUUAACCUUAAAUCCAAGUGAUACUUUGAUUAAAAAUUUUAGUAAGACUUUAUGCUAGAAAAAUCCUUCUAUCUGUGAGCUUUGAAUCACCAGGGAAAAUGACUUUGAACUAACUUUGUGAAACUAUUGAGAUGUACAAUAUGCAGUGCCAAGGAGGUAGCGCAUUGUCACUUGGGAAACAGAAAAGGCAAAGGGGAAACCAGCCUGUGUGCACUCUUAGAAACUUUAGUAUUAAAAGCACUUAAACAUAAAGUUGAACUGACAAUUUGGGGCUUAUUACAAAAUGUGAUGCUUUAGAGCACACGUUCUUUAUUGUUGUAAUUAGUCCAGGAAAAAAAAUACAUAGCUUUCUGAAGAAAUAAGUAAGUACCCAGUGUGUACCUAUGUAUAUUUAACAGUAGAUGAAACAAACCACUCUCCUGGAGCUGUAUACUUACCUUCUUUUUGCGUUAAAGGAGUAUCAUAAAUGCUGAAGUAUAUCAGGGCAUCCCAAGAUUGGGUACUGUAUUCCAGGUUUGCAGUUGCACAAAUUAGUAGCUAGUAUCACAGGUAAAAAGGACUUUAGGACCAGGUUUAAACUUUAUUUAAUAUUUUUAUACUUAGGUCUCUUUUUCCUGCCUCUCCCCAAAGAAGAGCCACUGGCCUUAGUUGUUUGACCUUAUUGCAUAUAAUAUAGAGUGUAAAUAAGUAACUAGAAACUGAAAUUUUAUUAACCAGCAUGUUUGGUGUAUUUAAAGCAGUGACUGAGUGUGUUUGAGUGAGGGGCUGAGUGCAUUGUCUUUUGUUUCAACACGCUGCUCACGUCUUUGUACCUGAUUCCGAUCAUUGGAGCUGUGGAGUAGGAAACAAACCUUCAGCUCCAGCUGCAGUAGUGUGUUGAUAGUUAAUUACAUUUGGGUCUUGUUGUUGUUGUUGUUGUUAUUGUUUAUUGACUCUACAAACUAUUUUUGCAUAUAGAUUUCAUAAUUUGUUCUUGACGUGCAAUGGACUGGCUUUGCGACUGAUCAGCAGAGUCUUAGUUCUGCAAGAGUAUUUCCUUCUAAGAAUGAUUAGUAGUUUACAGAAAAUAGCCAUUGGAUUCAAAAUCAUACAACAAAGGAGUGGUAGAAAGAAGUUUUAUUUCGAGUCUCAGUUAUUUGAAAUGUUUGGACCUUAAUAGAAAGCCAUGGAGAUUGUAAAGCCAAGUAACCAUUUGACAGAACAAUAUCCACUCUAUUGAGAAUAUUUAUACACAUUGGUUUUUAUGCCAUUCAGAUAUGUUUAGAAAGCUCUAAGAAUGAUUUGACCAAAUUGAAGUGGAGGCGGUGAGCUCUCUCCCCUCCAUUUGGCCUCACCAUGUAUAUGUUCAUCCUAUUCUUAAGAUACUCAGACCAGUUUACCAUUCCCUUAGUUGUGUAAGAGGGUGCAUGAUACAUUUGGAACCUCAUCCACGUACGAUUGCUUGCAUACAUGCACACACACGGUGGAUGUUUUAAGUUAUACAAACAUAUGAACUUAAGACACAACGGACCAGAGUAUUCUAGAAAGGUGAUAUACACACAGAAGGUGGACACUAACUCGCAAAUGCUUUCCCAGGACAAGGAGGGAUUUCCUUGGGCUGUAGAGUCUGACUUUGAGAAGCAUCACAUUCGUACCAAAGCAGUCAGGUAAUGUGGGCCACAUCCUUCCUGGCAGACUACCACCAUCUUGAAGGCUUUCGUGUUGACCGCUGGUCCUUCAUUGUCCUAG
Molecule: long non-coding RNA, 2402 nt
Organism: Perognathus longimembris pacificus (Pacific pocket mouse)
Lineage: Eukaryota; Metazoa; Chordata; Mammalia; Rodentia; Heteromyidae
Exons: 3
Source: RefSeq, a predicted model, not a curated record